Molecule: ribosomal RNA, 254 nt
Filed under: uncultured bacterium
Lineage: Bacteria
Description: partial 16S ribosomal RNA
Rfam family: Bacterial small subunit ribosomal RNA
Source: RNAcentral
UACGUAGGGGGGCAAGCGUUGUCCGGAUUUAUUGGGCGUAAAGAGCGUGUAGGCGGCCAAGCAGGUCCGCUGUGAAAACUCGAGGCUCAACCUCGAGACGUCGGUGGAAACCGUUUGGCUAGAGUCCGGAAGAGGAGAGUGGAAUUCCCGGUGUAGCGGUGAAAUGCGCAGAUAUCGGGAAGAACACCCGUGGCGAAGGCGGCUCUCUGGAACGCAACUGACGCUGAGACGCGAAAGCGUGGGGAGCAAACAGG